This 774-nucleotide long non-coding RNA is filed under the name Pan troglodytes (chimpanzee). Its description in RNAcentral is "lincRNA". Lineage: Eukaryota; Metazoa; Chordata; Mammalia; Primates; Hominidae. The record is from RNAcentral.
CUACCUGUGUGUGUAUUAACGCCCCGGCCUCCUCAUCAACUAUGGCCUGAGUAUGAUAGACUUAUCCAUGGUUUAAACAGAAUAUAUUGUUUUCAACUUUGAAAAUAAGAAUAUGGAAAUCCAGAUGCAGAAAUGUGAGAAGAAAAGAGAGUAAACAGAGUGGAAGGUCAGGUGACCUUGCCUGUCAUGAAUAUGAAGGUCAAGGUGUGUGAAUUGUGAAAUUUCCAAGAGAACCUCACUGAAGCAAAGAAUGGAGAAAGAAUCGCAUUUGGCCCUGGGAGCGUGCAGGGGUGAAUGGUGCAGGAGCUAAAUCUUUAUCAUACCCAGAAAUCAACAGCCACUAUUUGAAAUCAUCUAAAUUCGUGCUGCUAACCUUCAGUGUACACACAAAUCACCUGGGGAUCUUAUUAAAAGCUAGUUUCUGAUUCACUAAAUCUGUGUGAGGUGGAAGUUGAGGGCAGAGAAGCUCCCAAGGGUGUCAAGCUGACCCUGAACCCGACUUUGAGGGUUAAGGUCCCAAAUGGCAUCGCCAGCACCAGGGACAGACACUAAAAUUGUAGAAAUCAUCUCAAGAAAUGAACAGCCUCUAAGUCAGAUGUUGAAUGUGAAAGAAAUCAGGGUGUGUACGUGUGUGUGUGUUUGUGUGUGCACGUGUGUGCCUGUGUUUGUGCAUGUAUGUUUCUAUGUGUGCACAUGUGUGUAUGUGUCUGUGCAUGUGUGUUUCUGUGUGUGUGCCUGUGUGUGUAUUGGCUUAGAUCUGUUCGAGACUUUUUA